GCGUGAGUGAUGAAGGCCUUAGGGUUGUAAAGCUCUUUCGCCAGGGAAGAUAAUGACGGUACCUGGAAAAGAAGCCUCGGCUAACUCCGUGCCAGCAGCCGCGGUAAGACGGAGGAGGCUAGCGUUGUUCGGAAUUACUGGGCGUAAAGCGUGCGCAGGUUGUGAGAUCAGUUGGAUGUGAAAGCCCGGGGCUUAACCUCGGAUGUGCAUCCAAUACUGUCUCGCUGGAGGUUGGAAGAGGAGAGUGGAAUUCCCAGUGUAGAGGUGAAAUUCGU
Molecule: ribosomal RNA, 275 nt
Filed under: uncultured bacterium
Lineage: Bacteria
Description: partial 16S ribosomal RNA
Rfam family: Bacterial small subunit ribosomal RNA
Source: RNAcentral